This is a small nucleolar RNA of Notolabrus celidotus (New Zealand spotty), 114 nucleotides long. RefSeq annotates it as small nucleolar RNA SNORD67. The record is from RefSeq and is a predicted model, not a curated record. NCBI's taxonomy places the organism in Eukaryota, Metazoa, Chordata, Actinopteri, Labriformes, Labridae. The transcript has a single exon.
GGUGACAUUGAUGAGUUGCACCAUCCGACAGGUUGCUGUUGGCAUUUGCACGGCAAACCUGUCCUGACUUACCUGUGGUGACACCCACUGUGCACAGGGGCCAUCUGAGUCACC